GCCCAGACAGCAUAGUUUUUGGAUAACAGUGUCUAGUAGCUUAAUUCUUCCAUUCAAACCAGUGGUUCAGAUUGUGAAUCAAAUGUUCAAUGUAGAAAAGACUUGUCAAUAAAGAACAGCUGGAGAAUUGAAAUGACCAAGAUCACGGCCAGCAAUUAGGUUAUGCAAGUUUCAUCUCCUUAUUUAUGAAUAAGUUUUGUAAGACCGGGACCCUGCUGCAGUUAACCGUUAGUGGAGGAGCUGAGGCCCUCAACUUCAGGUGGGGAGUCUAGGAGAAUGAAGAAGAUUUGCGAGAGCCGGGAGAAGAGCGCUGAAUGGUGCAGUCAGCGAGAGGAGAACGUGGGAUCUGCUCUGCUGUGUGAGGGGCCAGGGCUCUGAAAUCAGACUCUCCUGGAUUCAAGUCACCGGCAGUCCCUACUCUGAAGCUGUGACUUCGAGAAGGUCAUGACUGAUGAUAGGAGAAAGCCAGAGAUGAUACACAUAACCCUUGCAUCAGGGAGGAGAUCUGCGCAUCAUCGGGGGACUUCCACACCCUAACCCGCCCUUCACUGGACUGUGCUGAAGAAGAAAGAGAGCCUAAGACCCUUGGGAUUUCU
Long non-coding RNA from Talpa occidentalis (Iberian mole), 596 nucleotides. RefSeq lists it as uncharacterized. The transcript has 4 exons. The record is from RefSeq and is a predicted model, not a curated record. NCBI's taxonomy places the organism in Eukaryota, Metazoa, Chordata, Mammalia, Eulipotyphla, Talpidae.